GAUGUAUUGCAGUCGAUUCAGUUUUUAAAUCAAAAGACAAUUCAUUUGAGAUAUGUUUUCUGCAAAUACUUAUAUUUGCAUAAUGCUGUUACAAUUCGUUUCAGUUCCUACAACUGUCACAUAAUCCUAUUGGGUUUUCAAUUGAAAAGGUGAGGCUGCGUUGCAUUAACAAUAUUUCAAUUUCAAAGUUAAAAAGCUUAAUGAUGUGCCUCUUGGAGAUUACAUCGGAGUUCAAUAGUCCAAGAAUGCUACAUAUGUGCCUCACACUGCAGGUAGGUACUAAGUGAGGCAUGCCAUGGAAAUCUUUCACUUGCUAACUGAAAAUGAGGAUUUAUUGAUUUCUUAUUGGUUUGAUUUCCUGGAUGAUGGCAUUUUUGUAAUAGCUUUUGGAGUGGUUUUAUUUGAACUCAUUACUGGAAGGAAACCAAUUUAAACCAAAAGAUUUCCAUGAGAAGAGAAUUUAGUAUUACGGCCAUAUUAUCUGAAGAGUGGCAACACAAUUACAAGGCAGACUGGAGGUUCCCUUGCUUCCUCAAUAAAAUCAUUGGCGUCCUAGAUCAUGGACUUGAUGUUUGGAUUCUAUAUCAAGCUUUAUCAUCCUUCCUAUUUUAUUAUAAGCAAUAUUUUUACUCGGUUAUUCAUACUCUCUAAAGAGGUUCGGCGUAUUAUGUUUUUUUGGAUUUGAGUUGGAAUAUUUACUCAUUGGCAUCUUAGCAUUGUGAUCUUAUGAUCGGUUACUUAGUUUUGUGUUUGUUGGAUUUGAGUUGGAGUAUUUACUCAUUUAAUUGAA
Molecule: long non-coding RNA, 790 nt
Organism: Vicia villosa (hairy vetch)
Lineage: Eukaryota; Viridiplantae; Streptophyta; Magnoliopsida; Fabales; Fabaceae
Exons: 5
Source: RefSeq, a predicted model, not a curated record